GAUUGCUCAGUUGGUUAGAGCAUGGUGCUGAUAAGACAUUGGUUGCAGGUUCGAUCCCUGUAUGGGACA
This is a non-coding RNA of Podarcis lilfordi (Lilford's wall lizard), 69 nucleotides long. The record is from the annotation of a GenBank genome assembly. NCBI's taxonomy places the organism in Eukaryota, Metazoa, Chordata, Lepidosauria, Squamata, Lacertidae.